CAGCGUUGCGCAGUGCCCCGGCGUCGCGUUCACGUCUGGAUAACUAUUAGUAGUAACGUUUCCGCAAAGGCGGCCGUCUCGUUGGGUAACUGUUACAAGCCCUUACGUGACUUGAGGGUUUCCCCUCCCUGCUAGCGCUGGGUAAUAGCCGCUUAGUCCGCGCUGACAGCUGGAAAAAAAUCAGAAGCGGUUCGAGCAUGUAGCAGUACCGUGAGAAAUAGUUAUAUAAGAGACCACCUCUCUUUCCCGGGUGUAACAGAAUUGAAAAAUGUAAUUCAAGACCAGCAGAUCUCCCUCGCCCUAAACAACUGCCACUGCUCAAUAUCUUGGGGAGGAAAGUGAAAAUUUGAUAUGCCCUAGAAGCUGCGACAUUUACGUUCUAGACCAAGUGAAUGCCAAACUUGCAGCCGUCACUGGACACUGGCCCAAAAGUCCCUCCAAUUGAUACUGCAAAGCCCCAGCUCGUGCACCAUCGCUCAUGUCAGCUUAAGCAGCGUAAGCACCCGCUAGCCCUUAUCCAGACAUGCUCCUUUUCCACGUGAAAAAGACAGGUUUCCCGGGACCCGAAGGGAAGGAAGGAGGGACCUGCCGGUGCCGAGCUGCCCCCGGUCACGCUGCAGCCACUGGAAGGACGCAGCAAGGCUGCAGGCAGGUUUGCCUCACACCAGGGAGGAGAUGAAAAAAAUGUAAGAAACAUGGUGGCAAAAAUACUAACUCUGGGAUUUUCUAUGGAGCCGCUCGGCGCUAAAUGCUCACAUGAAAUUCGGUGGGUGUAGCUUUCCUAAACUUCGGAUUGCCUGCUUGAAACCCCCAGCCUAACAUAUUCUACUCACUAAAACCUCGGUCUCGUGAUCUUGUGACUGUUUAUUUGGCUGCUCGGAUAGGGAUCAGAGAUCACUCAAUGGCCAGGAACAAGUCACAGUGCAGGAGAGCAAGGGCAGAUGCAUUUCAAAUGCUCCUGUUGGAAAAAUAAUUACUUAACGUACAGCUGGAAAGAGCAGGUUAGAAACAAGCGCUCUUGUUAGGGCAGGGACGAAAGUACGCCUGAAAUAUGAAAACGUUUAUUCCUACUUCAAAGAAACACUUGGUAUCCAAACAGCGAUGGCACCAGGUUUGAUGAUUUCUUAAAGAAGCGGGAAAACCAUGAACGGAUUUCUGACUCUUCUUACACGUGCCGCAGAGCAGAGGCUGCGGGGAGAGCCGCCACGCCUCUCGACGCGCAAAGCAGCUGCCUUCCUCCAAGGGGCAGUUCAUAGCGCAGAGCCAGGGAUGCAUCCGGCCCGGGGACGGGGCACAGAGGACUAUUCGUGAGCAACGAGGGAAAAAACAAAUCGGCGCGAAGCCCCAAAACCCUUUGGGCGAAGGAGGAGGGCCCGGCGCGCGGG
Non-coding RNA from Struthio camelus australis, 1385 nucleotides. The record is from RefSeq and is a predicted model, not a curated record. Lineage: Eukaryota; Metazoa; Chordata; Aves; Struthioniformes; Struthionidae.